GGUUUGGCACCUCGAUGUCGGCUCAUCGCAUCCUGGGGCUGUAGUCGGUCCCAAGGGUUGGGCUGUUCGCCCAUUAAAGCGGUACGCGAGCUGGGUUCAGAACGUCGUGAGACAGUUCGGUCCCUAUCCGUCGUGGGCGUAGGAAAUUUGAGAGGAGCUGUCCUUAGUACGAGAGGACCGGGAUGGACAUACCUCUGGUGUACCAGUUGUCGUGCCAACGGCAUAGCUGGGUAGCUAUGUGUGGACGGGAUAAGUGCUGAAAGCAUCUAAGCAUGAAGCCCCCCUCAAGAUGAGAUUUCCCAACUUCGGUUAUAAGAUCCCUCAAAGAUGAUGAGGUUAAUAGGUUCGAGGUGGAAGCAUGGUGACAUGUGGAGCUGACGAAUACUAAUCGAUCGAAGACUUAAUCAA
This 408-nucleotide ribosomal RNA is filed under the name Acinetobacter baumannii. Its description in RNAcentral is "partial 23S ribosomal RNA". It matches the Rfam family "Bacterial large subunit ribosomal RNA", at positions 2515 to 2925 of the family's 2925-position model. The record is from RNAcentral. RNAcentral also lists the same sequence under 49 other names. Lineage: Bacteria; Pseudomonadati; Pseudomonadota; Gammaproteobacteria; Moraxellales; Moraxellaceae.